This 127-nucleotide small RNA is filed under the name Marmota monax (woodchuck). The record is from RNAcentral. Lineage: Eukaryota; Metazoa; Chordata; Mammalia; Rodentia; Sciuridae.
GCCGGGCGCAGUAGGGCACACCUGUCAUCCCAGCAGCUUGGGAGGCUGAGGCAGGAGGAUCGCGGGUUCAAAGACAGCCUCAGCAAAAAAGUGGGGUGCCAAGCAACUCAGUGAGAUCCUGUCUUUA